RNAcentral lists this ribosomal RNA (497 nucleotides) under uncultured bacterium. Its description in RNAcentral is "partial 16S ribosomal RNA". It matches the Rfam family "Bacterial small subunit ribosomal RNA", at positions 28 to 507 of the family's 1533-position model. The record is from RNAcentral.
GAUGAACGCUGGCGGCGUGCCUAAUACAUGCAAGUCGAGCGAACAGAUGAGGAGCUUGCUCCUCUGACGUUAGCGGCGGACGGGUGAGUAACACGUGGAUAACCUACCUAUAAGACUGGGAUAACUUCGGGAAACCGGAGCUAAUACCGGAUAAUAUAUUGAACCGCAUGGUUCAAUAGUGAAAGACGGUUUUGCUGUCACUUAUAGAUGGAUCCGCGCCGCAUUAGCUAGUUGGUAAGGUAACGGCUUACCAAGGCAACGAUGCGUAGCCGACCUGCGAGGGUGAUCGGCCACACUGGAACUGAGACACGGUCCAGACUCCUAAGGGAGGCAGCAGUAGGGAAUCGUCCGCAAUGGGCGAAAGCCUGACGGAGCAACGCCGCGUGAGUGAUGAAGGUCUUCGGAUCGUAAAACUCUGUUAUUAGGGAAGAACAAAUGUGUAAGUAACUAUGCACGUCUUGACGGUACCUAAUCAGAAAGCCACGGCUAACUACGUG